RNAcentral lists this ribosomal RNA (292 nucleotides) under uncultured bacterium. RNAcentral describes it as "partial 16S ribosomal RNA". It matches the Rfam family "Bacterial small subunit ribosomal RNA", at positions 505 to 796 of the family's 1533-position model. The record is from RNAcentral.
GUGUCAGCCGCCGCGGUAAUACAGAGGGUGCGAGCGUUGUCCGGAAUCACUGGGCGUAAAGGGCGCGUAGGUGGCUCGUUAAGCGUGUGGUGAAAGCCUGGGGCUCAACCCCAGGUCUGCCGUGCGAACUGGCGAGCUUGAGCAGAGUAGAGGCGGGUGGAAUUUCGGGUGUAGCGGUGGAAUGCGUAGAUAUCCGAAAGAACACCGGUGGCGAAGGCGGCCCGCUGGGCUCUUGCUGACACUGAUGCGCGACAGCGUGGGGAGCAAACAGGAUUAGAAACCCCUGUAGUCC